Molecule: ribosomal RNA, 776 nt
Filed under: uncultured Neocallimastigales
Lineage: Eukaryota; Fungi; Neocallimastigomycota; Neocallimastigomycetes; Neocallimastigales
Description: partial large subunit ribosomal RNA
Rfam family: Eukaryotic large subunit ribosomal RNA
Source: RNAcentral
GUACACGCUGUGACUAGCAUAUCAAUAAGCGGAGGAAAAGAAACUAACAAGGAUUCCCUUAGUAACGGCGAGUGAAGCGGGAAGAGCUCAAAUUUGAAAUCUUCAAGGGUUUACCUUGACGAAUUGUAGUUUAAAGAAGUGUUUUCUGCUGAGGUUUUGGUAAAAGUUCUUUGGAAUAGGACAUCAUAGAGGGUGAGAAUCCCGUAUUUGACCAUUACUUUCAACUUUGUGAUACACUUUCAAAGAGUCGGAUUGUUUGGGAAUGCAGUCCAAAAUGGGUGGUAAAUUUCAUCUAAAGCUAAAUAUUGGCGAGAGACCGAUAGCGAACAAGUACCGUGAGGGAAAGAUGAAAAGAACUUUGAAAAGAGAGUUAAACAGUACGUGAAAUUGUCAAAAGGGAAGCGUUUGACACCAGUGUUGUUUUCUCGAAAAUCAAUUAAAGAACUGUUUAUGCUAAGCUGUUUAGACUUUAUCAGCUAUCUGUUUAGUUUUGAGCUUUUCUUUAAUGCACUUUUCAGUUAACAAGUCAACAUCAAUUUCUUUUGCUGUAAAAAAGCUUGAGGAAGGUGGCUUGAGAUUCGUCUUAGGUGUUUAUAGCCUCUUGCCUAUGCAGUCGGAGAGAUUGAGGUCUGCAGCGUAGAUCCUUCGGGGCUAGAUACAUUGGUGCUAAGUUAUAGCAUUGUCAUAGACAACUUGUUGACUAUGAUUAGUCAUUGUAGCUUACUCGCUGAUGUUAUUUUACCUACGCUUAGGAUGUUGAGCGCAUGUCUCUCUCU